GGGAAUUGUAAUUUGAAGGUUGUUUUGGUUGGGAAAAGAAUACUUUAAGUCCAUUGGAAAAUGGCGCCAUGGAGGGUGAUAGCCCCGUAAAAGUAUCUCCUACCCUUUUGUCCAAAACUUCCAAAGAGUCGAGUUGUUUGGGAAUGCAGCUCUAAGUGGGUGGUAAAUUCCAUCUAAAGCUAAAUAUUGGCGAGAGACCGAUAGCGAACAAGUACAGUGAUGGAAAGAUGAAAAGCACUUUGAAAAGAGAGUGAAAAAGUACGUGAAAUUGUUGAAAGGGAAGGGCUUGCAAGCAGACACAACCUCGGUUGGGCCAGCAUCGGAGUGGGAGGAGACAAAAAGGGGAAGGAAUGUAGCUUUUUCUUAAAGUGUUAUAUCCUUCUCUUCCAUCUCCAUCCCCUUCCGAGGCCUGCGAU
Molecule: ribosomal RNA, 416 nt
Filed under: Metschnikowia reukaufii
Lineage: Eukaryota; Fungi; Ascomycota; Pichiomycetes; Serinales; Metschnikowiaceae
Description: eukaryotic LSU rRNA
Rfam family: Eukaryotic large subunit ribosomal RNA
Source: RNAcentral